Long non-coding RNA from Vespula pensylvanica (western yellowjacket), 1721 nucleotides. RefSeq lists it as uncharacterized. The transcript is spliced from 6 exons. The record is from RefSeq and is a predicted model, not a curated record. Lineage: Eukaryota; Metazoa; Arthropoda; Insecta; Hymenoptera; Vespidae.
UUUACAAAUUUGUAAAAAAACGAAACUUCGUGCUAUCUCGUUGCUCUGCCAUUGGAAAUGAUUUCGAAAAAUGUAUUUUGUAGAAUUUUAUAUUUCUUGUUAUAUGAUAAAUUUUUAUUAUCGGCCAAACAGUUGAAACGAUAGUCAAUCAAUCAUCCUACAUGAUGCUCGAGCUCGAUCAUCUUACGUCAUUUCGAAGCUGAUUACUCAAGCAAGGAUCUACGAAGUCUCGAUAAUUAGAAGAUAAGUCAGUAAUUGAAUCAUCUUGAAGCUGAUUAAUCGUGCGAGGAUCUACAAAGUCUCUAUUCAUUGCAACGGCGCGCGAGGCAAUGAUAUAAAAUCGGUGCUUGCUCGAGAAUUUAGAUUCUUCCGCGUUUCGCGAUUUUUGAAUUAAAGAAUAAAUGAUUGCGCGCAAUGUGAUCACAGAUUUAAUGUCCGUCUCGUAGUAAAAGAACGUAAUUAACGCCUACUAGAGUCAGUGUUUUAUUUCAUCAAAUUAGAGUCAGUGCAUCAAAAAAGAUUAUUGAAGAUAUCUUUCCGAGGAUUAUCGCCGGAGUCGACGUUGAUCUAGCUCAUUUUCAACCUACUACGGAUCAACCCAUCUCGAUAUCCACUUACACGGCGGACGAGUGUUUUGGAGCCAUCGGAGAACUUCCAAAGUACAUUUGCAAAGCCGUCAGAGAUUCGACGAUAAUCUCCAAGUGGAUUUCAUCUUUUACCCGUAAAACCGAGCGGCCCGAGGAAAACAGAUAAACGGAUCAGCCUUUGACAAGUUGGGUUCUCCAUCGAGAAGGAAGAAUGGGAGAAGGAGACACGGGAAAGAAGUCCGAGGAAAGAUCUAACAGGUAUUUCGAGAAUUUUCGACGAUAUUUUAACGUUCUCGAAAUAUCGCUAAACCGAAUUACGUUUCUCCGAACAGCCAACACGACUACGUCGGACGUAAGUGCUCGAGUAUUUACCUAGCCUCUCACGGAGACGCGACUAAGCGGAGGAAUCGAAGCGAUCGGGUUUCAUUCAAAAAGGACGCCUCCCUCUUUCUCUCGUUCGCGGGGAUAUAAUGCGGAAGAAAUCAACCUGUCUAACGUCGUACCUUGUCGAACAGCAUCCGCCAUUUCUGAAAAGAGAAAAGAAAAGAAAGGAACGAAGAUAAAAACCGAUAAAAACCGAUAAAAAUAUUUAUGAACACGAAUAUACGCAACGUAAAGCAACUAGAACAUUCUAUGAAAAUCGUCUUGAACGGAAUGCUAAGGCGAAAGGUACAAAGGUAGGUUCCCUUUAUAUCGAGGUAUCUAUACCCAAAAAUGUUCAUUGAAAGGAAAUCCGCCUUUGAAAACGAUAAUCCGGUCGUUCGUUCUGAUGCUCGUACACGGAAGAAGAAAGCCAAGUUAUCCCAUUCUGGAUUCUGAAAAAUUGGCUGGGGAGACACCUGUCGCGAACAUUCUUUUUUUUCCCGGCAUUCCAAACUCUCGAAUACGUGCCAAAAUGCAAGAACGAAGGAUUUUUGCCCCUACCUUGCUUCCCUCUUCUUCUCUCUUUCCAUAGAAAGAAGAAAUAUUUUCCGACAGUUUAUAUGGGUCAGGGUUCGUUCUUUCACGAUCGAGAAUACGUCGCAGAGGUCUAAGAGACCGCGUAAAUCGAUCAAACGAUAUAAAAGGUAAAGGUAAGUUUGCAAAUACGUAUAAUAAUAGUAACGACAGGCUAAAGAACAAGAAGAAGAAGAA